CUGGCUGCACGAACUGAAGUCCGCGUAGGCCGAUGCCAAGCUCGAGGUGUCCAUCCCGGCCAUACAUGACUCGUAGGCAGAGGAAUUUAGAUGCUGCAGCCAGCUCCUGCACACUCACGGCUCGUCUCUCCUGCUCAUCUCCGGCCCAUCUGAGCCCUUUAUCUGAGCUUCCCCGAGUGACCAGGAGACCAGCCAGUGGAUUAACAUAAAAAUCUUAUUCCGAGGGAUAAGAUUAGGAAAACAUAUUACCCUCAAACGCGGCCUUGGCACGAGCGGGAGCCAUGGCAAGAGAUCAAUUACUAAAUUACUCCAACCUCUAAGUCGACAUUAACGCAGAGAAAUGCCAUCGACCCGUUCUGAAAUAAGAUUUCGCAAAGAUGUGAUCAUUAAAUCUCUUGCCAGUGUUCAAGAAUUUGAUUCAUAAAAAUCGUCUGAAAUGAGAUGGAAUUAAAUUCUUAUCGGGGCUCUUGUCAUCGUUUCAUCCCCGCGCUGUUUAACGUUGGUCAAUGGCCUUCAUGAGAUUUCCCCCUGUAAAUAAACUUAGUAAUUGAA
This is a non-coding RNA of Labrus bergylta (ballan wrasse), 552 nucleotides long. The record is from RefSeq and is a predicted model, not a curated record. NCBI's taxonomy places the organism in Eukaryota, Metazoa, Chordata, Actinopteri, Labriformes, Labridae.